This is a non-coding RNA of Pelobates cultripes (western spadefoot toad), 266 nucleotides long. The record is from the annotation of a GenBank genome assembly. Lineage: Eukaryota; Metazoa; Chordata; Amphibia; Anura; Pelobatidae.
UCUCCUUUCUGAUUGCCUCCCAGGAUGUCGUAGAGAAUCGCACUUACGCAUAUGGGAAAAUAUCGGUAGUUCUGAAAGCAAGAGACCCUAGACGCAACAAAAAGCUGUCUAUCCCAGAUUUUGUGAUUGUUUGUGGUAUCUAUAGGGAUGUUUUAUGUUUGGUUCACCCACAUAGAAGGGAAGAGCUGGACCUCUUUAUUCACAAGCUGGUUGACCUAAGCAACAAAUACGGUGGUACGUCCUUUUAUGACUACCACCGGUCAUUC